RNAcentral lists this ribosomal RNA (405 nucleotides) under uncultured Turicibacter sp. Its description in RNAcentral is "bacterial SSU rRNA". It matches the Rfam family "Bacterial small subunit ribosomal RNA", at positions 988 to 1393 of the family's 1533-position model. The record is from RNAcentral. Lineage: Bacteria; Bacillati; Bacillota; Erysipelotrichia; Erysipelotrichales; Turicibacteraceae.
GCAAAUAGUAAUUCUCUAAAAGGAGGGUUUCUUUCGGAAAAAUGGAUACGUGCGGCGUGUGUGUCUCCACCUCUCGUGUUGAGAUGUUGGGUUAAAUCCCCCAACAAGAGCAACCCUUUUGCUUAUUUGCCCCCGCGUAGAGAUGGGAACUCUAACGAUACUGCCAGUGACAAACUGGAGGAAGGUGGGGAUGACGUCAAAUCAUCAUGCCCCUUAUGACCUGGGCUACACACGUGCUACAAUGGUUGGUACAAAGGGAAGCUAAACGGCGAUGUGAAGCAAACCUCAAAAAGCCAAUCUCAGUUCGGAUUGGAGGCUGCAACUCGCCUCCAUGAAGUUGGAAUCGCUAGUAAUCGCGAAUCAAAAUGCCGCGGUGAAUACGUUCCCGGGUCUUGUACACACCGA